This 468-nucleotide ribosomal RNA is filed under the name uncultured bacterium. RNAcentral's name for it is "partial 16S ribosomal RNA". It matches the Rfam family "Bacterial small subunit ribosomal RNA", at positions 28 to 507 of the family's 1533-position model. The record is from RNAcentral.
GACGAACGCUGGCGGCGUGCUUAACACAUGCAAGUCGAACGGAAAGGCCCUGCUUUUGUGGGGUGCUCGAGUGGCGAACGGGUGAGUAACACGUGAGUAACCUGCCCUUGACUUUGGGAUAACUUCAGGAAACUGGGGCUAAUACCGGAUAGGAGCUCCUGCUGCAUGGUGGGGGUUGGAAAGUUUCGGCGGUUGGGGAUGGACUCGCGGCUUAUCAGCUUGUUGGUGGGGUAGUGGCUUACCAAGGCUUUGACGGGUAGCCGGCCUGAGAGGGUGACCGGCCACAUUGGGACUGAGGUACGGCCCAGACGCCUACGGGAGGCAGCAGGGGGGAAUAUUGCACAAUGGGCGGAAGCCUGAUGCAGCAACGCCGCGUGCGGGAUGACGGCCUUCGGGUUGUAAACCGCUUUCGCCUGUGACGAAGCGUGAGUGACGGUAAUGGGUAAAGAAGCACCGGCUAACUACGUG